UACGGGGGGAGCAAGCGUUGUUCGGAUUUACUGGGCGUAAAGGGCGCGUAGGCGGCGCAACACGUCACUUGUGAAAUCUCCGGGCUUAACCCGGAGCGGCCAAGUGAUACUGUCGUGCUAGAGUGCGGAAGGGGCUACUGGAAUUCUCGGUGUAGCGGUGAAAUGCGUAGAUAUCGAGAGGAACACCUGCGGCGAAGGCGGGUAGCUGGGCCGACACUGACGCUGAGGCGCGAAAGCCAGGGGAGCGAACGGG
Molecule: ribosomal RNA, 253 nt
Filed under: uncultured bacterium
Lineage: Bacteria
Description: partial 16S ribosomal RNA
Rfam family: Bacterial small subunit ribosomal RNA
Source: RNAcentral